Molecule: ribosomal RNA, 253 nt
Filed under: uncultured bacterium
Lineage: Bacteria
Description: partial 16S ribosomal RNA
Rfam family: Bacterial small subunit ribosomal RNA
Source: RNAcentral
UACGAAGGGGGCUAGCGUUGCUCGGAAUCACUGGGCGUAAAGCGCACGUAGGCGGAUCCUUAAGUCGGGGGUGAAAUCCUGGAGCUCAACUCCAGAACUGCCUUCGAUACUGGCGAUCUCGAGUCCGGGAGAGGUGAGUGGAACUGCGAGUGUAGAGGUGAAAUUCGUAGAUAUUCGCAAGAACACCAGUGGCGAAGGCGACUUACUGGACACAUAUUGACGCUGAGGUGCGAAAGCGUGGGGAGCAAACAGG